This is a non-coding RNA of Heterocephalus glaber (naked mole-rat), 1092 nucleotides long. The record is from RefSeq and is a predicted model, not a curated record. Lineage: Eukaryota; Metazoa; Chordata; Mammalia; Rodentia; Bathyergidae.
CUGGGUGGGAUAAAAGAGGCUGAAAGACAGGGUGAAGGUCUUUUGUUAGCUUUGCUGACUUGUGAAUGCUGUGUUGCUUCUCCUUUUCGAGGCCUGUUUACCAUCCCUGCCUUGUAGCCAGCCAAUUGUGGACUGAAACCUCUAUGAACUGUUGUUGGUGAACUGGGGCUCCUGCACUAAGGGAGUUUUCCUGGCUUAGUGAUGUCCUUUCUUUCCUGAGGUGCUAGAAGUGGAACCCAUGCCCUCAAGCAUGCUAGGACAAGUCUUGCUUGAAUUUCUACUCCAGCACAACAGUGCAAGGCAGAGGAAGAUUAAAAUGAACCUUCCACUGCUUGUCUUCCGAAGUACUGUGCAGCGCUUCUUCAACAUCCCUAAAAUGUGGACAGUCCUUUUCUACAGACUCAGAUAGUGCCAAUGAACUAUGUUAAAUUUUUAUUUAUUUAUUUUCUCAAGGGAGGGGUGGGCCUUGCUAUGAGCCCAGGCCGCCCGGAACUUCUGAACCCCAGUGAUCUCCACCUCAGCCUCUGUAGUAGGUGGGGACUACAUGUGCACACUGCCUGAAAUCUCUGCUUGCUUGCUUGGUUUUGGUGUUUUGAUACAGGGUCUCCCUAUGCAGUUCAGGCUGGCCUUAAACUCACUAUGGAGCCCAGGCUGGCCUGGAACUUACUGUGAUCCUCCUGCCUCAGCCUCCCCUGUGCUGGGAUUACAGGUGUGUGCCACCACGCCUGGCUAACUGGGUUAAAACUUUUAAAGUUCAAAAUAUUUUGGGGACAAACAGAUCUUCCGAGAGGUACGACGGUAGAUACACAACACUGCUGUAUCAGAAACUGUAAAUAUGACGGUACAGUACUGCUUUCCUUAGUGAACUGAUGUGUGCACAGGUAAUACCUCUCACACAGCUUAUAAUCAAUAAAUGUCCCUUUCCCUGUCAUCUACUUCAGUGCAACUUAUUCUCGACCCAGUACUUUAGCACUGAACACGGAUUUCUUCCGAGUCAGACAUUGGUAACAUUGUGCUUGACGUAAGAACGUGCAGGCAAGAGCAGGUUGAAUUUCUUCACCCCAUUUUGUCCAAUAUACCAAAUACUGUAAA